RNAcentral lists this ribosomal RNA (464 nucleotides) under uncultured bacterium. RNAcentral describes it as "partial 16S ribosomal RNA". It matches the Rfam family "Bacterial small subunit ribosomal RNA", at positions 338 to 795 of the family's 1533-position model. The record is from RNAcentral.
CCUACGGGAGGCUGCAGUAGGGAAUCUUCCACAAUGGACGAAAGUCUGAUGGAGCAACGCCGCGUGAGUGAAGAAGGGUUUCGGCUUGUAAAGCCCCGUUGGUAGGGAAGAAAGUCAGAGGUAGUAACUGGCAUUUAUAUGACGGUAAUUACUUAGAAAGUCACGGCUAACUACGUGCCAGAAGAUGAGGUAAUACGUAGGUGGCAAGCGUUGUCCGGAUUUGUUGGGCGAAAAACGAGCGCAGGCGGGUUAGCAAGUUUGGUAUAAAAGGGUUUGGCUUAACGAAGGAUUGUAUCAAAAACUGUAACUCUAGAGUGUGGGAGAGAGAUGUGGAAUUCGAGGUGGAGCGGUGGAAUGCGUAGAUAUAUGGAAGAACACCAGUGGCGAAGGCGGGAUCUUGGGCUAUCACUGACGCUGAGGCUCGAAAGUGUGGGGAGCAAAUAGGAUUAGAUACCCGAGUAGUC